RNAcentral lists this ribosomal RNA (274 nucleotides) under uncultured bacterium. RNAcentral describes it as "partial 16S ribosomal RNA". It matches the Rfam family "Bacterial small subunit ribosomal RNA", at positions 523 to 796 of the family's 1533-position model. The record is from RNAcentral.
CCACGGAGGGCGCAGGCGUUGCUCGGAAUCACUGGGCGUAAAGCGGGUGUAGGCGGUCUAGCAAGUCAGAUGUGAAAGCCCACGGCUCAACCGUGGAAGUGCAUCUGAAACUGCUAGACUUGAGUGCCGGAGAGGGAAGUGGAAUUCCUGGUGUAGGGGUGAAAUCCGUAGAUAUCAGGAGGAACACCGGUGGCGAAGGCGACUUCCUGGACGGCCACUGACGCUGAGACCCGAAAGCGUGGGGAGCAAACAGGAUUAGAAACCCUAGUAGUCC